This 1284-nucleotide long non-coding RNA is filed under the name Sus scrofa (pig). Its description in RNAcentral is "lncRNA (ENSSSCG00015008234.1)". The record is from RNAcentral. Lineage: Eukaryota; Metazoa; Chordata; Mammalia; Artiodactyla; Suidae.
CCGGGGUAAAGCAGUUAUACAAUCUUCCCCCAGCACACCCGGCAUCUGUGAAGUACAAACAAUAUAAAGUAGGCCAUCCAGGCCCGUAAAGCAGGCACUGCCCAGCCGUCGUGAUUUAAGUUCAGUUCAGCGGUGACCUGGCUUAUUACGAUAAGAUAGAGGAGUGAAUGGCGCCUACGCAGGGAGAAGGCAAGGGAGUGGGAAAUAAAGAAUUCCCUGGGCUCCUUCCAGAAGCUGUGAGUUGCAGGGAUCGGACUCUUGUUAUCGGAAAAAGGACCCAAACUCAGUCGCUAGUAUGUUCUCGCAAAGGACGCUGCAGAUUUGUUGGUGGAAGGAAGUGACACCGCCUGCUACCAAAUAUUUGGUCAGCUCUCCAUCACCAACUUUCUGAUCUUAGUAUGGCUUUCCGUGAUCAACCAACUUUUCCCAGCGCAAUGAGGUCUCUGGCUGCACUUGUAUUUCCAAACGAGUGUGCUGACCUUGGACUUCCUAAGGGGACAGGGUUAAUUAUGAACCAGACCACGGAUCUUCAAUUUAUCAGCGGGCUAAGUAGCUGGUGACCGCGCCCCCAUCGGAGUCAACUUCGAGGAAAUGAAACGGGACUUAUUUACAUUUAGAGCGAUGCUCAGCUUCUUAAUCACCUCAAAGCAUUUAAAAAUUAACUUUCCUAACCAGCAGCUCGAGAGGCAAAAUGAACCCUGGGAAAGCCUUGGCUACCCUUCUCUCUCUCCUCCUCUGGGGCUGCCUAUUCAUUAUUUCAGCCUGUGUUCUUUGCCUGUGUUUUGUUGUUGUUGUUGUUUUUGCUAAACCCUGGAAACUCUCUUGUGUUUGCUAUGUCUCUGAUAAAGCAGGUUUCUACGACCUCAUCGGAAUGGCCAACAAUUGCCGGGAGAGCUGAGUGCAUGGGCACCGGAAGACAUGGGACCCAGUCUGUUCAACUUUGUGGUAUAGGCAAUGUUUCAGUGAAAUUGGUUGGUUAUCAAAGGGUUAUUAUGGAUUGCAUGUGCCGGACAAGAGGGGAAUUCGAAGCGGUGUGGAUUCCGGUAGAAGCAAGGUCCUUCCUUCCCGUUAAUUACAGCAGCUAAGAGGCCAAGGGGCAUAUUCUUGGAGUUUUCACUUUGACCACGGAAGCCGGUUACCUACUAUGGUGAAAGGAAUGCUACCUGGGUUCUAAGAGGCCAUUCUUGAAAAAUAAGCAGAAGCCAAGUGACUCUGGAUCUGUGUCUUCAUUAGAAGCAGAACGCCCUGUACCUUCUGUUUGCCUUGUGCCGAGUCUGCAGAAGG